RNAcentral lists this transfer RNA (132 nucleotides) under Myxococcales bacterium. RNAcentral's name for it is "tRNA-OTHER". It matches the Rfam family "tRNA". Rfam says of the family: Transfer RNA (tRNA) molecules are approximately 80 nucleotides in length. The record is from RNAcentral. Lineage: Bacteria; Pseudomonadati; Myxococcota; Myxococcia; Myxococcales. RNAcentral also lists the same sequence under 1 other name.
ACCGGGAUAGCUCAGCCAGGUAGAGCGCGUUGCAGUGUCCCCCAAUCGUCGUUCUCCGACCCAGGUCGGCAGUGAGUGUUGGGGUUCCUUCGGUUAACGACGUAGUCGCAGGUUCGAAUCCUGUUCCCGGUG